UGUGGUCAGGUGUAUGGAGAAGAUGUGUGGAUGGACAGGGGUGUAUGUUGAGGUUGGGUGUAUGUGGUCAGGUGUAUGGAGAGGAUGUGUGGAUGGACAGGGGUGUAUGUUGAGGUUGGGUGUAUGUGGUCAGGUGUAUGGAGAGGAUGUGUGGAUGGACAGGUUGGGUGUAAGUGGUCAGGUGUAUGGAGAGGAUGUGUGGAUGGACAGGGGUGUAUGUGGUCAGGUGUAUGGAGAGGAUGUGUGGAUGGACAGGGGUGUAUGUUGAGGUUGGGUGUAUGUGGUCAGGUGUAUGGAGAGGAUGUGUGGAUGGACAGGGGUGUAUGUUGAGGUUGGGUGGCCUUUUGAAGUGUCGUCACGUUGAUGGUGCCACACCUCUGCUGCUCACCAAAUUAACUAAAUCACUCUGCUACCCAAGGCAGGAAAAGUAACACAUAUUAUAAUUGUGUGACAUUUUGGUAAUGACCACACUGACAUUUCAGACUGACACCUUUUUCCCUCUCUUUCUUUGGGUACCUUUUUUUUUUUUGGUCCCUUACAUUUUAAAGGGUAAUGAUACAGAAUGACGGUUUUUACGCUUUGAAAACCAGGAGCCUUCUCGCAGCUCCAAAUCAUCCUCUCUCGUUUUUGUUUGACCGCUUCAAGUCUCACUCACGGACCGAUCAAAGAGUGUCAAGAAACACUUUCCCAUGUGCCUUGUCGGCAAACCAAAUGUCACCCCAUUAACAGGAAUCAUGCUUCCCCACAGAUAAGCUGUGUUGAAAGGAGCCUGUUAAGUUCCCGUCUCUUCUCAAACACCGACGGAAAUAUUCCUACACGACUAAAUUGGCACCAUUAUGGCUGAGCAUUUCUACCCGGAAAUAUGAAUUGAGUUAAUGAUUCAAUUGUUUGGUGACUUACUGUUACUAAUACCCUGUUCUCUAGGGAAUUUGUUUCACCGGCAGACAUGAGCUGCAUCCGUAUAGCGGUAACAUACAUUAUAUGUUCCCGAAACACUUCAACUAAUGUCAGAUGAUUCCUCUUCAGUGCGGCUUCUGUCCGUGCACGGCUCUCCGUAGAAAUCUGAACACUACAUUACAUUCAUGACGCCGGUCCUUCCCC
Long non-coding RNA from Oncorhynchus keta (chum salmon), 1101 nucleotides. RefSeq lists it as uncharacterized. The transcript has 3 exons. NCBI's taxonomy places the organism in Eukaryota, Metazoa, Chordata, Actinopteri, Salmoniformes, Salmonidae. The record is from RefSeq and is a predicted model, not a curated record.